CCUCUCGUAGCUCAGCGGUUAGAGCAGAAAACUCAUAAUUUUAAGGUCCCUGGUUCGAAUCCAGGCGGGAGGA
This 73-nucleotide transfer RNA is filed under the name Candidatus Pacearchaeota archaeon. RNAcentral's name for it is "tRNA-Met". It matches the Rfam family "tRNA". From Rfam's summary of the family: Transfer RNA (tRNA) molecules are approximately 80 nucleotides in length. Their secondary structure includes four short double-helical elements and three loops (D, anti-codon, and T loops). Lineage: Archaea; Nanobdellati. The record is from RNAcentral.